Molecule: ribosomal RNA, 254 nt
Filed under: uncultured bacterium
Lineage: Bacteria
Description: partial 16S ribosomal RNA
Rfam family: Bacterial small subunit ribosomal RNA
Source: RNAcentral
UACGGGGGGGGGCAAGCGUUGCUCGGAAUUACUGGGCGUAAAGGGCGCGUAGGCGGGAUGGCAAGUCGGUCGUGAAAUCCCUCGGCUCAACCGAGGAACGUCGAUCGAUACUGCUGUUCUUGAGGAUUGCAGAGGAGACUGGAAUUCCCGGUGUAGCGGUGAAAUGUGUAGAGAUCGGGAGGAACACCGGUGGCGAAGGCGGGUCUCUGGGCAAUUCCUGACGCUGAGGCGCGAAAGCGUGGGGAGCAAACGGG